AUUGAACGCUGGCGGCAUGCUUUACACAUGCAAGUCGAACGGUAACAGGCCGCAAGGUGCUGACGAGUGGCGAACGGGUGAGUAAUGCAUCGGAACGUGCCCAGUCGUGGGGGAUAACUACUCGUAAGAGUAGCUAAUACCGCAUACGAUCUAUGGAUGAAAGCGGGGGACCGUAAGGCCUCGCGCGAUUGGAGCGGCCGAUGUCAGAUUAGGUAGUUGGUGGGGUAAAGGCUCACCAAGCCAACGAUCUGUAGCUGGUCUGAGAGGACGACCAGCCACACUGGGACUGAGACACGGCCCAGACUCCUACGGGAGGCAGCAGUGGGGAAUUUUGGACAAUGGGCGCAAGCCUGAUCCAGCAAUGCCGCGUGCAGGAAGAAGGCCUUCGGGUUGUAAACUGCUUUUGUACGGAACGAAACGGCUCUGGUUAAUACCCGGGGCUAAUGACGGUACCGUAAGAAUAAGCACCGGCUAACUACGUG
This 482-nucleotide ribosomal RNA is filed under the name uncultured bacterium. RNAcentral's name for it is "partial 16S ribosomal RNA". It matches the Rfam family "Bacterial small subunit ribosomal RNA", at positions 30 to 507 of the family's 1533-position model. The record is from RNAcentral.